GGAGGUGGUUCCAUGGUUCAGUAGUAGAACAUACAGUCUGCAAGUGGGAGGCCCUGGGUUCAAAUCCUGGCAUCUCCA
This is a non-coding RNA of Podarcis lilfordi (Lilford's wall lizard), 78 nucleotides long. NCBI's taxonomy places the organism in Eukaryota, Metazoa, Chordata, Lepidosauria, Squamata, Lacertidae. The record is from the annotation of a GenBank genome assembly.